Molecule: ribosomal RNA, 429 nt
Filed under: Bacteroidota bacterium
Lineage: Bacteria; Pseudomonadati; Bacteroidota
Description: Bacteroidetes bacterium partial 16S ribosomal RNA
Rfam family: Bacterial small subunit ribosomal RNA
Source: RNAcentral
UAGGGAAUCUUCCGCAAUGGACGCAAGUCUGACGGAGCAACGCCGCGUGAGUGAAGAAGGAUUUCGGUUCGUAAAACUCUGUUGUUAGAGAAGAACAGCGCAUAGAGUAACUGUUAUGCGUGUGACGGUAUCUAACCAGAAAGCCACGGCUAACUACGUGCCAGCAGCCGCGGUAAUACGUAGGUGGCAAGCGUUGUCCGGAUUUAUUGGGCGUAAAGCGAGCGCAGGCGGUCAAUUAAGUCGGAUGUGAAAGCCCCCGGCUCAACCGGGGAGGGUCAUUGGAAACUGGUUGACUUGAGUGCAGAAGAGGAGAGUGGAAUUCCAUGUGUAGCGGUGAAAUGCGUAGAUAUAUGGAGGAACACCAGUGGCGAAGGCGACGCUCUGGUCUGUAACUGACGCUGAGGCUCGAAAGCGUGGGUAGCAAACAGG